This 220-nucleotide unclassified non-coding RNA is filed under the name Hevea brasiliensis (rubber tree). The record is from RNAcentral. Lineage: Eukaryota; Viridiplantae; Streptophyta; Magnoliopsida; Malpighiales; Euphorbiaceae.
GGGCUUUUCAAGUUUGUAUGGGAAACAGCAGGAAUGAAAGGCGACCUUGAAGUACAAGGCCAUCUGUGGUGCAUUGGUGCCAAGUAUAAGUCAUUUACCUAUAGAAACAAUUUGUUCUUGCUGCAUUCUAUAAGUUGCUGAUGUACUGACAGGGAAAGCUAGAAAUGUGGAAGAUGCAUUCAUCAAUGUGUAUAGUAGGUUAGUAUGUAACAACUUUUUG